Molecule: RNA transcript, 6813 nt
Organism: Bubalus bubalis (water buffalo)
Lineage: Eukaryota; Metazoa; Chordata; Mammalia; Artiodactyla; Bovidae
Gene: KDM4C
Gene name: lysine demethylase 4C
Exons: 10
Source: RefSeq, a predicted model, not a curated record
CGGACUCCGGGGAGGCCGGGCCUGGCGCGCCCCUCGGGGCCAUUUCUUCCCUGGGACUGUCUCGACCCGCGACGUGAGGGUGAAGGCUCCUCUCCAGACCACCCCACCGUAGGCAGCUUACUCCUCUCCUGGAGACUGCUCCAGCCAUCAUGGAGGUGGCCGAGGUGGAGAGUCCGCUCAACCCCAGCUGUAAGAUCAUGACCUUCAGACCCACCAUGGAGGAAUUCCGGGAGUUCAACAGAUACCUUGCAUACAUGGAAUCUAAAGGAGCCCAUCGAGCGGGUCUUGCAAAGGUGAUUCCUCCUAAGGAGUGGAAGCCAAGGCAGUGCUAUGAUGACAUUGACAACUUACUUAUUCCAGCUCCGAUUCAGCAGAUGGUCACAGGGCAGUCAGGACUGUUCACUCAAUACAACAUCCAGAAAAAAGCCAUGACAGUGAAGGAGUUCAGGCAGCUGGCCAACAGUGGCAAGUACUGUACCCCAAGAUACUUGGAUUAUGAAGAUUUGGAGCGCAAGUACUGGAAGAACUUAACCUUCGUGGCACCCAUUUAUGGUGCAGACAUUAAUGGGAGCAUAUAUGAUGAGGGUGUGGAUGAAUGGAACAUAGCUCGCCUAAACACGGUCUUGGAUGUGGUUGAGGAAGAGUGUGGUAUUUCUAUUGAGGGUGUAAACACCCCUUAUCUAUAUUUUGGCAUGUGGAAAACCACAUUUGCAUGGCACACCGAGGAUAUGGACCUCUACAGCAUUAAUUAUCUCCACUUUGGAGAGCCCAAGUCUUGGUAUGCAAUACCCCCGGAACAUGGAAAACGACUGGAAAGACUAGCUCAAGGUUUUUUCCCAAGCAGUUCUCAAGGGUGUGAUGCAUUUCUUCGCCACAAGAUGACACUGAUAUCUCCCUCAGUAUUAAAGAAAUACGGCAUUCCCUUUGACAAGAUCACCCAGGAAGCUGGAGAAUUUAUGAUCACUUUCCCAUAUGGCUACCAUGCUGGUUUUAAUCAUGGUUUCAACUGUGCAGAAUCUACAAAUUUUGCUACUGUCAGAUGGAUUGACUAUGGGAAAGUUGCUAAAUUGUGGCUUCCUGUGAUUCCACAUUAGGUGGACUUGGCACCUUCCAUGUUAAAAGUUCAGUCCAUGGCUUCAAAAACAGCUAUUUACAGAGGAAAGUGUCUGGUAAAAUUGUAACAAGAUGUUAAGGAAAGAUGGUAAGAAGAAAUGAUUAAAACUGCCCUUAGCGCAAAAAUGAAUUUCUUGAAAGUAAUAAUAUAGAACAUACUUUAACAAGAAAUAUAUCUUCAUGUUAAAUUUGGUACAAAAAUUAGUGUCUCCUACUCAGUAUAUUUAAUUUAGUUCACAAACUGCAUUUUAAUUCACAAGUAACGGGGUUAAAUUUUAUUAAUUGCCCCCCUGCAGAGUUAAAUAGAGGGCAUUUUCAAAGUGACAGUAGCUUCUAUUAGGUUACUUCGUUUCCUGUGGAUUUUAAGGCAGAGGUGCAUGCUGGCAGAGGGUGGGUUCUUAAUGAAACUAUGUGUUUUACAGAGUAUGCAGAAUUGCCCUAUAUUUAGUGGAAAAUGGCACAUAGAGUCUAUGUGGCCUAUUGUGGCCCCUGCAUGGUCCAGGCAAAUAUUAUUCAUUCUACAUGAUAAAACUUCCGUGUGGAACCAUUGAGUGAACGGGGACAGAAAUAUAUUCAGGGAGGACAACUCUAGGUUUAUUUUACAUGCACAUUUAGAAAAUUGCAUAAUAUUUUAAAAUAAGAAUAUAGCCCUUUGGCAGCUCAAGCGUUUGAGUGAAUUCAUAACAUAAAAGAAAGCUCCUGCUAUUAGAAGACUUUCUCUGUUCUGAGUAAUUUUUAUUUAUGAGGGGUAAUUUAGAAAGGAGUAGAACUGAACUACUUCUUUAACAUCCUUCUUAUUACAAUACACUUAAUUUGAAAAAAAACAAACCAGAAAGCUCAGUGUAUGUACCUUGGCCAGCUACUGCCGUUAUUUUGCAGAAAAGUAAUGCCUAUGUCUACAUCGAAACAGUGUCAUAACCCUGAGGUUAUAAAAAGGUAUGCUAUUUUAUGGUUUGCAUCUUUAAUCAUUGACAUAAUAAGUCAACUAUCCCAGCUGUUCAGUCGCCAGCAAAAUCAGUUUGUGCUUGUUUACUGUAGCUUUCAGUUUCAUCAUAGUUCUGAGUAUUGGCUUCUCCCCAAGUCUAAAAUAUCCUGAGUGUGUUUCCACCUUUCCAUGUGGACAAAGUAGGAGUGGAGUGUGACCACGUAAGAGAGGUUGAUAGUGAACCUCUCUGAAGUCUCAGCUGAUAAGCCCAGAGCUGUAUGGGAUUGUUUAGGAGGCAGAGCGCCAUGGUGGGGGAGGCAGGGAUCUGAGGCCCAGCUCUUCUUUUUGCUAACCAGAGAAUAUCAGGAAAGUCAUGUCUUCUCCUUGUUUCUUUCUAUAAACUAAAAGUACCUCUUUACCCCAUAGAUUUGUUGUGGGGCUGGGGGUGGAAAACUUAGGUAUGUAGACAGCCACUCAUGCUGUGUUGGUUUAUAUCAUUCAGUGUAGUCAGAGGAUAUGACAAAAUGUUCAGUGGCUAUAAUGCAGUGUUGGACAGUUAAUUUAAAACUCGUCAUAGUUGCAUGUGUUGGAGAUGAUUUUAUAUGUUGUCUCCACCCUUUUCUUACUCUUGGUGAGGUGGUGCUACUCACCUUAAUAAUAAUAAUUAUUAAUUUUUUAUUGGAACUGUAGCAAGUUUCCAUAAAAUUACCAUAAAGUUAGUGGCUUAAAACAAUACUCUUUUUACUGUUUUGUAGUCCAGUAGGUUAUAUGUUUAACAUUGGUCUCACCAGCAAAAUCAAUGUUUUUGCAGGGCUGCUUUCCUUACUGGAGAUUCUGGUGGAGAAUCUACUUACCCAGUGGGAUUGUUGGCUGUUAGUUCCUUGUGGUUGUAGGACUGAGUUCCUAUUUCCUUGCUGUUGUCAGCCAGGUCUUUGCUCCUAGAGGCCUCUCUCAGGUCCCUUGCUGUAGUCCCCUACAUUUCAGAGCAAGCAAUCCACAAUAUCCCUUUUGUCAUAAAAGAUAGCAUAUUCACAGAUUGCAAGGUCUAGGAUACGGAUAUCUUUGCUGUUAGGGGUGGGACCAAGUGGGGUGUGGGAGUGUGGGGGGCAGCAUUCUGCCUACAUCAGAGAUUUUCAGUUAAUAAUUGACAUGGUGAUAUAUAUUGAUUUUUUUCAAGUCUGUUUCUAUAGGCAACCUUACGGAUUUACUGUGGUGUACGUAUGGGUAUGUGUAUGAACGUGUAAUUUCCUAAGAUUAGAAAAAUUUGUAAAUUGGACAUUUUUGUGUUUUGCUGGAGAAAAAUAUAAUGUAUAGAAAUUAAUUAUGAAUUGUAUUCAAAGACAAAUUUUAGCUUUGAGAAUGACCACAUUUGUUUGUCUUAAUCCUUUGUGUUCUUUAAUUCAUUCUAAAUGAUAACUGUUUAAAAGAGUUAUUUUUCACAAGUGAUAGUUAUACAUUUAGGGGGAUAAUUUUUUAAAAAAUGGUGUACUUUUUUGUAGUUGAAGCACUGGGAAAUGACUGCUGCUUUACCUGUCACAUGUUGAUUUGACUAUGUAAAAGCAUCUGAUAAAGCGUCUGGUGCAGCAUUAAUUAACAUGGGGUAGAGUGAAGAAUCUCAACUGAUAAUAUUUUGUAUAUUACAAACCAAUAUUUCUGUUUCCAUAACUUAGAAAAGGGCUGUUACAGGAGGUUAUUUUUUAAUUAAAAAAAAAAUUUUGAAAAGAUAACCCCAGGCUCACCAAUAACAUUGGUGGUCUUUGUUUAGCAGCCAACAAGCUUUGGUUAGGGACUUUUUAAGCCAUUCAAGUGACUUAAUAUGGAUGGGGAGAGAGUUCUGUUUUUUCAGGUAGAGCCUGUCUGUUGUAUGCCAGGCACUGUGUAUGUUUCUGUGAAUUCAUCCCUUGGAGGCUGAAUUGUUUGAUGGGAGCCAGAAGUGAGAGUAGUGUUGGCACUGCCGAGCAUCCAGGACUGCUUCCUUUGCUCUUGGCUGCUUCACCGCUGGUGGCAUCGCUGGAGCAGGAUGGGAGAUGGGGUUUCUGUGGAUUUCCUUUGAAUGUAUUACUGAUCUCUUGGUAUGUGGUAUUUGUUCAUGAAACCUUCCCUCCAUUUAAGGUAUAGCUAACAUUGACUAAAAAGAAUAUCCAUCACAGUAUUUGUGCUAUUCCCAAAUACUCAUCUUCCAAAUUCCAGCAGAUUCUUUAACCUUUGAUGUUCUCAACUAAAUAAUAAUAAUAGCAGCAAUAAUUAUUAUAUGUGGAUAUUCCAUUGCCUGUCAGUGUUUUCCCCAUUUUUCAGCACUUAAUUCAGAUGGCCCUUUAUUAUAGUAUCUACCCAAACUGCCUCAUCUCUUAUAUAAGGCUUCUUUUGUGCAUAGAUUGUAGAACAGGUCUUCAGAAAAUGGUGUGAGCAAUGACAACAACUUAAUUUCAGUAUCCUUUAGAAAUUUCUAAAAUUUCUGCUAAAGCCACCAACUUUGGUAUUCCUCUUGUUCCUAUCUUUCCAUCUCUUUUCAGGAUCACUCAGCUCUUUUUUGCCUUGACCUGCCAAAUAUAGCAAACCAAAUCCUGCAUGAUACUGCAGAAGAGAACAGCCUUGCCUUAAGAGGACCCACCUACCUAAGAAAGUGGUUCUGUAAUUCUUACUCCUCAUUUCAUUUAUCAGAUUUAAGGUUUUCAUUGAAAAAAAAGGAAUGUUCUAGGUGGCCUUGUGCCCAUAUGCCUGGUAUCAGGCAGAGUUCAGCUUUGGUGAGUGCCCUGCAAGUUUCUUCUCUGAAAUAGGAAUUGUGCUACACGCUUGUACAAAAGGAAUUGUUUCUUUGUCUUCAAAGAGCUUUUAUAAUGAGCAGAAGGGCUUUUAAUAAACCUCUUUUGCAGAGCUGUAAUAUGAGUGGAACAUACCAUCCAGUUAUUUAUUUUAGGCAUCUUUCUAGCUUUGAAUAUCAGAGUAAUCUAGAGUGAAAUACUGUAUACUUUUUUUUCUACUAGAGAUUUUAAAAUAUCCGCCAGAUUGCAUAGCAGUUGAACUAAGAUAUUUGUGCAUAUUUGAGAUGAAUGUUUUCUGCUUCUGGAGCAUUCUUUCUUUCUGGGGUGAGAUGGAGUCCAUGGUUACUUCUGCUCAGCAGCUGUGGUGGCAUUCACAGGUCUGCUUCCUGGCUAGGUUGGAUCAAAGAGCUGGCCUGCAGGUUGUAUUUCAUUUUUCCGUUUGGUGGGAUGAAGUGCAGUUGUUUUGAUGUUAGGUUUGAUGGAUUUGUUUGCCACUGCAUUCAUUAGCUUCACAUCAAAAAACUGACAGGCUGUUAAAUGAAACUUUGGCUUAGAUUUUCAGCUUGACUGUUUGGAGACAUUUGUGAGGAUAUUUUGUUUUUGUGUUGCAGCAGCCUCCAGCACUGUGAUUGUCUCUAAGGGAAGAAAAGUUAUUUACUGUACUGAUUUUCUUGAGUUAAAAAGAAUCAUUGUCUGGGGGACAGUCAUAUCUAGGCUGCACCAUCAGAAGCAGUGUAUUUAUGACAGUAUGUGCAGUGUGAGAGACUUAUCUACAGCACAGUAAAUAACGUUAUCUUCUUGGAAGGAAAGGUAAUAGUUGGUGACUCUAGAAUGAUAUCUCUUAUUUUGCAUUAAUUUUACUUUAAGUGAUAAUCUAUUAACAUGAUAUGCCAGAAAGUUGAAAAAUUGCACUACAAAGCUGGGAAUGUUCUCUUAUGAACUCCAAGAGAGUUACUUCACCAUCUAACUUGAAAGCAUUCUGACAUUUGAAUCCUCAAACUUGUUUUGAACGAGUUAAAGAGACGGUAGAAUGUUGAAAUUGAUUUCUUUUUAAUCUGAAAGGAAUUUCAACUGUUAAAUUGUCUUGCAUAUAAGAACCAUGAUAUGGGUUUAUCUUUUUUUAUAUUUCAAUCUUUUCUAAAAUUAAAUUUGUUUUUUCCUAAAUUAGGUAGCAUUCAUCCAAAAAAAUCUUUAAUCUUGGGGUGGUCUUUUUAAAAACAAUCAGGAACCAUUUUAACAUUGAGUCUCAAGGUUAUAUUUUAAUAUGCCUUAGAUCACAGAAUACUAGUACAGUGACAUUUCUCUAUUCUUACAGCUUGUGAAGUAAAGUACAUGUGGACUGUUGAACAUUGCUCAUUUAACAGUUCUUGGCAUUCUAAUUUUAGUGUCUGGUCUGUCACAUAAAAUAUGAACUUUGAGAGCUAAGUGGUUUCAUAUUCUCCAUUUUAUCUUUUUACCUUCACUUGACUUCUGUUACUUGGGUCCUAGUGGUACAACACAGCAGUGCUGAUGAGUGGUUGUCCUCUGCCUUUUUUUUUUUUUUUUUUUUUUUAAAAAACAAGAGUGUAAAGGGAAGAAGAGAAAAUACCAUAUAGAGAAAAAGAAGCAUAUGAAGUCAUGUCCUUAGGAGUUUGUACUCAAACUGGGAAGUUUGUAUUUAUGUAUUUAGAAGAGAUAGGGUUAGGUUCACAUUAUGUCCCCAUUUUAUUCUAAUAAAGUAUUGUUGGAUUCAUAAAAUCUGAGGCGUCAAGUAGCAUACCAGGAAGGCCAAGUGAUUAAUACAGAUUGUGUCUGCAGGAGAGACGUUUGGGGUUUGAGUCCUCAGGGAUGGGGAGCCUGAUUUCAUUUAGUGCUAAUUUAUUAAUAAUUUGCUAGAUUAUGGGAUUUGAGUGGAACUAGGUAUAUAAUUUCAGAGAAGGCAAUGGCACCCCACUCCAGUACUCUUGCCUGGAAAAUCCCAUGGACGGAGAAGCCUGGUGGGCUGCAGUACAUGGGGUUGCUACGAGUCGGACA